AGUCGAACGCUUCUUUUCCCACCGGAGCUUGCUCCACCGGGAAAAGAGGAGUGGCGAACGGGUGAGUAACACGUGGGUAACCUGCCCAUCAGAAGGGGAUAACACUUGGAAACAGGUGCUAAUACCGUAUAACAAUCGAAACCGCAUGGUUUCGUUUUGAAAGGCGCUUUACGGUGCCGCUGAUGGAUGGACCCGCGGUGCAUUAGCUAGUUGGUGAGGUAACGGCUCACCAAGGCCACGAUGCAUAGCCGACCUGAGAGGGUGAUCGGCCACAUUGGGACUGAGACACGGCCCAAACUCCUACGGGAGGCAGCAGUAGGGAAUCUUCGGCAAUGGACGAAAGUCUGACCGAGCAACGCCGCGUGAGUGAAGAAGGUUUUCGGAUCGUAAAACUCUGUUGUUAGAGAAGAACAAGGGUGAGAGUAACUGUUCACCCCUUGACGGUAUCUAACCAGAAAGCCACGGCUAACUACGUGCCAGCAGCCGCGGUAAUACGUAGGUGGCAAGCGUUGUCCGGAUUUAUUGGGCGUAAAGCGAGCGCAGGCGGUUUCUUAAGUCUGAUGUGAAAGCCCCCGGCUCAACCGGGGAGGGUCAUUGGAAACUGGGAGACUUGAGUGCAGAAGAGGAGAGUGGAAUUCCAUGUGUAGCGGUGAAAUGCGUAGAUAUAUGGAGGAACACCAGUGGCGAAGGCGGCUCUCUGGUCUGUAACUGACGCUGAGGCUCGAAAGCGUGGGGAGCAAACAGGAUUAGAUACCCUGGUAGUCCACGCCGUAAACGAUGAGUGCUAAGUGUUGGAGGGUUUCCGCCCUUCAGUGCUGCAGCUAACGCAUUAAGCACUCCGCCUGGGGAGUACGACCGCAAGGUUGAAACUCAAAGGAAUUGACGGGGGCCCGCACAAGCGGUGGAGCAUGUGGUUUAAUUUGAAGCAACGCGAAGAACCUUACCAGGUCUUGACAUCCUUUGACCACUCUAGAGAUAGAGCUUCCCCUUCGGGGGCAAAGUGACAGGUGGUGCAUGGUUGUCGUCAGCUCGUGUCGUGAGAUGUUGGGUUAAGUCCCGCAACGAGCGCAACCCUUAUUGUUAGUUGCCAUCAUUUAGUUGGGCACUCUAGCAAGACUGCCGGUGACAAACCGGAGGAAGGUGGGGAUGACGUCAAAUCAUCAUGCCCCUUAUGACCUGGGCUACACACGUGCUACAAUGGGAAGUACAACGAGUCGCGAAGUCGCGAGGCUAAGCUAAUCUUUUAAAGCUUCUCUCAGUUCGGAUUGUAGGCUGCAACUCGCCUACAUGAAGCCGGAAUCGCUAGUAAUCGCGGAUCAGCACGCCGCGGUGAAUACGUUCCCGGGCCUUGUACACACCGCCCGUCACACCACGAGAGUUUGUAACACCCGAAGUCGGUGAGGUAACCUUUUU
RNAcentral lists this ribosomal RNA (1413 nucleotides) under Enterococcus mundtii. RNAcentral's name for it is "bacterial SSU rRNA". It matches the Rfam family "Bacterial small subunit ribosomal RNA". The record is from RNAcentral. Lineage: Bacteria; Bacillati; Bacillota; Bacilli; Lactobacillales; Enterococcaceae.